This 253-nucleotide ribosomal RNA is filed under the name uncultured bacterium. RNAcentral's name for it is "partial 16S ribosomal RNA". It matches the Rfam family "Bacterial small subunit ribosomal RNA", at positions 524 to 776 of the family's 1533-position model. The record is from RNAcentral.
UACGUAGGGGGCAAGCGUUGUCCGGAAUCAUUGGGCGUAAAGCGCGUGUAGGCGGCCCGAUAAGUCCGCUGUGAAAGUCCAGGGCUCAACCCUGGGAUGCCGGUGGAUACUGUCGGGCUCGAGUCCGGAAGAGGCGAGUGGAAUUCCUGGUGUAGCGGUGAAAUGCGUAGAUAUCUGGAGGAACACCGGUGGCGAAGGCGGCAUUCUGGACUGCAACUGACACUGAUGAACGAAAGCCAGGGGAGCAAACGGG